This 496-nucleotide ribosomal RNA is filed under the name Staphylococcus aureus. RNAcentral describes it as "partial 23S ribosomal RNA". It matches the Rfam family "Bacterial large subunit ribosomal RNA", at positions 1919 to 2414 of the family's 2925-position model. Lineage: Bacteria; Bacillati; Bacillota; Bacilli; Caryophanales; Staphylococcaceae. The record is from RNAcentral.
CCCAGUAAACGGCGGCCGUAACUAUAACGGUCCUAAGGUAGCGAAAUUCCUUGUCGGGUAAGUUCCGACCCGCACGAAAGGCGUAACGAUUUGGGCACUGUCUCAACGAGAGACUCGGUGAAAUCAUAGUACCUGUGAAGAUGCAGGUUACCCGCGACAGGACGGAAAGACCCCGUGGAGCUUUACUGUAGCCUGAUAUUGAAAUUCGGCACAGCUUGUACAGGAUAGGUAGGAGCCUUUGAAACGUGAGCGCUAGCUUACGUGGAGGCGCUGGUGGGAUACUACCCUAGCUGUGUUGGCUUUCUAACCCGCACCACUUAUCGUGGUGGGAGACAGUGUCAGGCGGGCAGUUUGACUGGGGCGGUCGCCUCCUAAAAGGUAACGGAGGCGCUCAAAGGUUCCCUCAGAAUGGUUGGAAAUCAUUCAUAGAGUGUAAAGGCAUAAGGGAGCUUGACUGCGAGACCUACAAGUCGAGCAGGGUCGAAAGACGGACUUA